RNAcentral lists this non-coding RNA (31 nucleotides) under Mus musculus (house mouse). Lineage: Eukaryota; Metazoa; Chordata; Mammalia; Rodentia; Muridae. The record is from RNAcentral.
UGAGAUCGUACAUCAUGGUUCAGGUGCUUUU